Molecule: long non-coding RNA, 450 nt
Organism: Quercus robur (English oak)
Lineage: Eukaryota; Viridiplantae; Streptophyta; Magnoliopsida; Fagales; Fagaceae
Exons: 3
Source: RefSeq, a predicted model, not a curated record
UAUCCCUUCAAGCUGUGCAUGAUUGGGAGUUGAAAUCAUUGGAUUCAUUUUUGGAUGACUUGUACUCUGUUCAGUUAUGCCAGCAUUAGGAGGGUAGGAUGAUUUGGAGUUUUGUCUAAGGCUCAGGCUUUAAUGUUUGAACUUUUUACGAUGCUUUGCGAACAGAACAAGCGGAUGGAGCCUUCAACUGAGAAGAAAACUGAUGAUGAAGAGGUCUUACGAAACAAUCCUGAGUUUCACCGCAAACCAUGGCCAACCAUAAGCAACAGUGCGAAAGAUUUUGUAAAGAAGUUACUGGUGAAGGAUCCUCGGGCAAGACUAACUACAGCCUAGGCCCUAUGUAUGUAUUGAAUUUGUCUCUUAGUAAAUAUCAAUUUUGAUUACUUCUGGCCUAUUGGAAUUGGCUAAUGCAAUUACAAAAAUUUUUAGGCAAUAGAGUUGUGACUCAAA